CCUACGGGGGGCAGCAGUGAGGAAUAUUGGUCAAUGGACGAGAGUCUGAACCAGCCAAGUAGCGUGAAGGAUGACUGCCCUAUGGGUUGUAAACUUCUUUUAUAUGGGAAUAAAAUGUUCCACGUGUGGGAUUUUGUAUGUACCAUAUGAAUAAGGAUCGGCUAACUCCGUGCCAGCAGCCGCGGUAAUACGGAGGAUCCGAGCGUUAUCCGGAUUUAUUGGGUUUAAAGGGAGCGUAGGUGGAUUGUUAAGUCAGUUGUGAAAGUUUGCGGCUCAACCGUAAAAUUGCAGUUGAAACUGGCAGUCGUGAGUACAGUAGAGGUGGGCGGAAUUCGUGGUGUAGCGGUGAAAUGCUUAGAUAUCACGAAGAACUCCGAUUGCGAAGGCGGCAAUCUGGCUGGAAACUGACGCUGAGGUGCGAAAGCGUGGGUAUCGAACAGGAUUAGAUACCCCAGUAGUC
Molecule: ribosomal RNA, 460 nt
Filed under: uncultured bacterium
Lineage: Bacteria
Description: partial 16S ribosomal RNA
Rfam family: Bacterial small subunit ribosomal RNA
Source: RNAcentral